CGGAGAUCUUCUGUGUAUAAAGGGCAAAAAAAGCAUCUAACAACGUACUUAGCUAUUCUACGAGCUAUUCUACGAUCUAUUCUACGAGCUAUUCUACGAUCUAUUCUACGAGCUAUUCUACGAGUGGUCUGAGGCAGUUGUUAAAUAAAAAGCGUUUUCAAGAGCAACUUUAGUAACGAUCGUUUCGGGAAACAGCUCAGAGAUCUAACUAUGCUCCUACAAAAGUUCUAAGGAUGAACGUAAUGCAGGAACGGGUAUCAAGAGGUAUUGUUGUCUGGUUUGAACUGAAAGUUGUUGGGCCAUCGGGCCUCUACAGGUAAUGUAGCUGAAUGUUAGGCUGUAACAUUAUCUCUCUCCAGGUAAUGUAGCUGAAUGUUAGGCUGUAACAUGAGCUCUCUCCAGGUAAUGUAGCUGAAUGUUAGGCUGUAACAUUAUCUCUCUCCAGGUAAUGUAGCUGAAUGUUAGGCUGUAACAUGAGCUCUCUCCAGGUAAUGUAGCUGAAUGUUAGGCUGUAACAUUAUCUCUCUCCAGGUAAUGUAGCUGAAUGUUAGGCUGUAACAUGAGCUCUCUCCAGGUAUUGUAGCUGAAUGUUAGGCUGUAACAUUAUCUCUCCAGGUAAUGUAGCUGAAUGUUAGGCUGUAACAUGAGUUCUCUCCAGGUAAUGUAGCUGAAUGUUAGGCUGUAACAUUAUCUCUCUCCAGGUAAUGUAGCUGAAUGUUAGGCUGUAACAUGAGCUCUCUCCAGGUAAUGUAGCUGAAUGCUAGGCUGUAACAUUAUCUCUCUACAGGUAAUGUAGCUGAAUGUUAGGCUCUAACAUUAUCUCAUGGUAUUAUCACAUGGAUAUGACCAGAAAUAAUCAAUGUAAAAGAAUGGGACAGAUCAGACGUUUGUGAAAAUCCAUCUCUUUCCAGACAGAUGCAUGUAAUGUACUGUGAAUAUGAUGUCGUUGAUGUUACCUUGCAGCAUGUCAGGAUUAUGCCAAAUAAACGUAGGGGAUAAUAAUACAUUGUGUGAUUCAUGUUUAUUGACAAGAUG
This 1035-nucleotide long non-coding RNA is filed under the name Salmo salar (Atlantic salmon). Its description in RNAcentral is "lncRNA (ENSSSAG00000102386.1)". Lineage: Eukaryota; Metazoa; Chordata; Actinopteri; Salmoniformes; Salmonidae. The record is from RNAcentral.